This 1947-nucleotide long non-coding RNA is filed under the name Ananas comosus (pineapple). RNAcentral's name for it is "long non-coding RNA (ACOM_LNC023028)". The record is from RNAcentral. Lineage: Eukaryota; Viridiplantae; Streptophyta; Magnoliopsida; Poales; Bromeliaceae.
GGUUAAUUUGUAGCGUCAAUGUGCUUUUCACAUAACACUACAACAGAAUUAGGUUAUAGGGACACAUAUUUGGGACAUUUUUGAGUAAGUGUCCCAUUUAUGCUAAAACUUAAAAACACAUCUACUAAUGCCUAAAUAUAAAGCCCAAUCUAAUUAAAAAUAAAAGAUUACUCUACUCAACCCACCACACCCAGUCCAUUUGACCCGAUUACAAACAGAAAAGAAAAAAAGAAAGAAAAAUCAAUUACCAUCUUUUCUUCUCUCUUCACUCAAUCCACUGAAAUUCUAGACGAAGAGCCUUUACUGUCAUCCUCUUCCGCCACCGCAGCCAACGAGAUAGAGUUUCGGCGGUUGCUAAAUGCUUAAAUAAGUGUUGGUAAAUUAGCAGCACUUUUUAGGUUAUAGCGACACUCUUUAACUGUCACUAUAUACCUAGCGACCCCACAUAUAGCAACACUUUUUAAAAGUGUCGGUAAUUUUAGCUAGCAGCACUUUUUUGACAUGUACCUACAUUUAAAAGUGUCGCUAUAGACCGUUUUUGUUGUAGUGUAAGUUCUAAGUUAGGAGAGUUAUAGUAAACCAACAAUAUAAGUUUCAAGGACUUGCUUGUAAAGCUUUAUUUACUGGCGUAAUCUCACUAUUGUGGGCUAACCUAGGCUAGUUAAGAAUUGUGCAUAUAGGGGAGCUCCCUAUAUAUAUAUAUAUAUAUAUAUAUAUAUAUAUAGAGCUAGGCUCCUAUGCUUUCGAAAGUACAGAAGCCUCCGUACUUAAAAGUUGUUUUCAAUAAUGGGACAUCCGAUUCAGUGAUCGGUUCCGUUAGACAUGAUCUACGCUAUUGGAACUACCUAGAAACCAAAUUUCAUAAUUUUUUUACUUUGUUUGUCUAGUAAACGAGUAGCCUCAAAAUGAACGGCUGAAAAUAAAAAUCUUAUAAAAAACAGUGAUAAAGGACUCAAAUUUCAAAUCGGAAGUAUUGGUCUUUCUAUUGAUAUUAAGUAGAAUUUUCUAUUAAAUUUUCAUCUAAUUUGGAUACUUCUACACCGUUGAACUUAAAAACGUGCCACAUCGGCCGUUAAAAUAGUCAUUUUUGAGAUUUUUCGAUCGCUUGGUAAAUGAUGUCAAAAAAUUAUAAAAUUUGGUUUCUAAAUAGUUCCAAUAGGGUAGAUUAUACUUAACGGAACCGAUCGUCGAAUCGGAUUUCCUAUCAUCGAAAACAACUUACAAGUACGGAGGUCUCCGUACUUUCGAAAGUACAGAAGACUUACUCUAUAUAUAUAUAUAUAUAUAUAUAUAUAUAUAUGGAUUGAUAAUGAAUAAAGCGAUGCUAUAAACUAGGCUGCUUGAGUUUUAUCUAUUAGCAACCUACACAGAAUUAGUUAUAGCGACACAGUUUGAGACAUUUUCAGUAAUGUCCCCAUUUAUGCUAAAACUUAAAAACACAUCUACUAAUGCCUAAAUAUAAAGCCCAAUCCAACCAAAAAUAAAAGAUUACUCUACUCAACCCACUACACCCAGUCCAUUUGGCCCGAUUACAAACAGAAAAGAAAAAAAAAAGAAAAAUCAAUUACCUUCUUUUCUUCUCUCUUCACUCAAUUCACUGAAAUUCUAGACGAAGAGUCUUUACUGUUGUCCUCCUACGCCACCGCAGCCAACAAGAUAGAGUUUCGGCGAUUGCUAAAUACUUAAAUAAGUAUUGAUAAAUUAGCAGCACUCUUUUAGGUUAUAGCGACACUCUUUAACUGUCACUAUAUACCUAGCGACCCCACAUAUAGCAACACUUUUUAAAAAUGUCGGUAAUUUUAGCUAGCAGCACUUUUUUAACAUGUACCUAUAUUUAAAAGUAUCGCUAUAGACCGUUUUUGUUGUAGUGUAGUAAAUAAAUUCUUUUUUGGCAAAAGAUGUAACAUUAAUAGUAUAAUUUAGGAAAGUAGAUUUAAGAAGUGAUUA